RNAcentral lists this long non-coding RNA (590 nucleotides) under Phasianus colchicus (ring-necked pheasant). RNAcentral's name for it is "lncRNA (ENSPCLG00000019967.1)". Lineage: Eukaryota; Metazoa; Chordata; Aves; Galliformes; Phasianidae. The record is from RNAcentral.
CUAUUUCAACCACCAGGCUUCUUAGUGGACUUAGGAGUUUCUUGUCAGCCUUAUGACUAUGAAGAAGACUGGGAAUUGUAGCACAGCCUGUUUUUCUGGAGCUAAAAAUAUGGAGAUGCAAUCAAGUUAAGAAGAAAAUCAAAAGUAUGCAGAUGUAGUGGGCAUAAUAUGAGGGGCUCAGUCUACAUACCUGUUUCAUACAAAUGAAGAUUGAUGAUUGAGCCACUCAGAGGAAGACACAAGCCUUCGAGGGAAGAUAUCAGCCUCCAAGCAGAAAAGAGAAGUUGCUGUAAAGCCUACUGGGACUGGAAAGAUUCAAACCCCAGAGGAAUCUGGUACUGCAGGAACUUCUGUCCUAGUCUCAGAAGAAUGUCUGCAUAAGAAGGAAUUUGAGGAAGUAGACAAAUACUUCUUGUCUCUACAUCUUUUCUCCCAUCACUGAUAAUUACUCCCAGCUGGGUAGACACACAACUGGUCCUACAAAGUGAUUGUCACUUCCUUUCAUUAUACCAAUUAUCAUUGACUAAUGGGAGCAUAUAUCUGUAUAAUCCUAAUCAUUUUCUAAAUAAAUGGCGAUCUAGGAGGAAACA